AUGUCAGCAGCCGCGGUAAUACGUAGGUGGCGAGCGUUGUCCGGAAUUACUGGGUGUAAAGGGCGUGUAGGCGGGGAUGCAAGUCAGAUGUGAAAUACCGCGGCUUAACCGCGGGGCUGCAUCUGAAACUGUGUCUCUUGAGUGUCGGAUAGGAAAGCGGAAUUCCCAGUGUAGCGGUGAAAUGCGUAGAGAUUGGGAGGAAUACCAGUGGCGAAAGCGGCUUUCUGGACGACAACUGACGCUGAGGCGCGAAAGCCAGGGGAGCAAACAGGAUUAGAUACCCUGGUAGUCCACGCUGUAAACGAUGGAUACUAGGUGUAGGAGGUAUCGACCCCUUCUGUGCCGGAGUUAACACAAUAAGUAUCCCGCCUGGGGAGUACGGCCGCAAGGUUGAAACUCAAAGGAAUUGGCGG
Molecule: ribosomal RNA, 413 nt
Filed under: uncultured bacterium
Lineage: Bacteria
Description: bacterial SSU rRNA
Rfam family: Bacterial small subunit ribosomal RNA
Source: RNAcentral